This 289-nucleotide small RNA is filed under the name Dacryopinax primogenitus. RNAcentral describes it as "5' ureB small RNA". It matches the Rfam family "5' ureB small RNA". The record is from Rfam by way of RNAcentral. Lineage: Eukaryota; Fungi; Basidiomycota; Dacrymycetes; Dacrymycetales; Dacrymycetaceae.
CAGUCCACUGCUGCGGACAGAUGUAGUGCACAUGGGCGUCAACCGCACCCGCCGUGACAAUGAGCUUCUCGCCGGCGAUCACCUCGGUGCUCGCACCGACAAUGAGGCUGGCCUCUACGCCUUCCAUCACAUCGGGGUUUCCAGCCUUACCGAUGCCGGUGAUCUUUCCGUCUUUCACGCCAAUAUCAGCCUUAUAGAUACCGCUCCAGUCGAUGAUCAGCGCAUUCGUGAUCAGCAGAUCCAGCGCAAGCGCAGAGUGUCGACCGGUCGCUUGGCCCAUACCUUCCCG